CGUCCUUCUUCAGUGCGGGCUCCGACCAAUGACGGUCGCCCUUUUAGGUUCUUAGCCCGCCCUCCAAGUGCGCUACAGCCGUUGGGUCAGAAGUCUAUAGGGCAGCGUGUUCACGUGGCCCGUUUUCACGACCCAGAGUUCCCCUGGCCGUGGGUUUUUUUUUUUUCCCCCACCUUCUUUCCCUCGCGCUCUCCUUCUCUCCUGCAGGGAGGCAUUAUGGGUUUGUGGGUCCGUUCCCCCUCCCCCGCCCCCGCACCACAGGGAAAGGAAGUGCCGACGUGGCCUGCGGAAAUAGGAUAGGCGGAAAUGAGCUAAGGUUCCCGGGAGUGGGAAGAGCGAGGUCAAACCAGCGCCACGCCCCCGAGCCUGUUGCGCAACCCUCAGAACGGGAGAAAAAAAAAAAACCCAACCAAACCAAAAGGAAAAAUGAAGGUUUUGAGGUGUAUGCGUGUGAGGGUGGUAUUUCUACACAUGUGUAUGUGUUCAGAAGUCAGAGGCACUGGAUCCUCCGGAGCUGGGAUUACUGGCUGUUCUGAGACACCUGACAUGGAUGCUGGGAACCUAACUCGGGUCUUCUGGUAGAGCAGCAAGUGGUCUUAAUGGCUGAGCCACGUCUUCAGCUGCAAAGGGGAAAGGUUUUUUAGAGCGGUUCUCCAAAAAUCAGAAGCAUCAGUAAAACUCGGUGCUUCAUCUACAUGUACGUACGUCUAUGUAUCUUGUAUGCGUCUGCAAGAGGCCAGAGGAGGACAUCAGAUUCCCUGAGACUGGGAAGGUUUGCUGGGCCCAUUUUACAGAUAAAGAACCAGAGAUCAGAUGUAAACUCUCAGCUACUACUCUGAUGCCAAGCUUGUCUGCUUGUUGCCAUGCUCCCCAUCAUGAUGAUUAUGAACUCACCCUCUGAAACUAUGAGUGAGGAAGCUAAGCCACUUGAGUGAAACAAUGUGUCUAUGAAAGGAAGAGCUUCAAAAACGGUGUCAUAAUAAUAUGUGAUACAGACUCCAAGCACAGAAUGGUGAGCCACUGAAAAGAGAAACAUGGGAACAGUUUAAUGUUAAGCUAUCUUAUUCUUUAAGAACUGGGGAUCACUAAAGUAUGAAUUUUUACACAGAAGAAUAAAAGGAUGCAGAGCUGAUGGGGACUGAGCAGGAUAAGCAGAGUCAAGAAAGACUAGGACUUCUCCUUAUACCUAUUGAACCUGACUUAGGGUACCAUGAUAGAAAUGCACCAGGAUUCCCACAAAGUUAUCCUCAUAGUGUUUUGAUUGAGCCAGUCCUGCUGAGCAGCUGAUGGUUUUCUCAGCAUCUGUCCUGUAGGAGGUGUUCUCUGAGCCCCAGGAGUCCUGCAGGUCACCCAGCCCCCAACACUCUGGCUUCUUUCAAAAGCAGAGCUGGAGGGCACAUCUGCCAAGUUCCUCUGCUAACAAGCAAUCUCUUCUCUGGUAGUUGUGCUGGAAUAAUUGAGCACAGCAGCAUGUGCAUGUGAUAAUGUGCAUGUACUUGUAUGUGGGGAAAGUGGGGUCAGCUGCUGCUAGCCUGGGGUGAGAUGAAGUUUCUGUCUGCUUUCCAGUUACCUUGCAACUGCUUCCUUCUCCAGAUAUUUGAUUUUGCUUCCUUCCUCUGUUUUCUCUCCUGCUUCUUCUCACAUUCCUGAUAGGGGCUUCCUUGUGCCCCUAAGACCACACUGUUCCAGAACCUUACCAGGGUAAAUUCUAGGACUUUCUCUAAAAUGGCUGGUACCUCCAGGAAAUGGGAUAAGUUCCUGAGCAAAGAAGAGUAAGACUAACUCAGAAGGUAGAGGGCAUAGGAGGGGCAUUCUAGUCAGGUGAUGUGCCCAGUCAUUAGGGAUAUAAAGUUUAGAAGCAGGAUAUCUGAGUAAAAACUGUUUUAUGUCCUCCUGGCUAUGUAGCUUUAUACUGCUUCAAUUCCAUCUGUCUUUAAAUUGGGAGGUAAUAACAAUAACUUAUGUUAUUAUCCGUAUGUAGCUUUCCAUUGAUUUAAAGAUUUUGAGACUGUCUUCUGUGAGUGAGGCCCCGGAGACUUUGUUCCCAACCUCCAAGAUCCAGGAGCUUUCAUUGGACACAUUCCUGCCCAGGUGAAGGGCCAUGACAACUCUUAAAGCUUUCUGUCUGAGGAUCAGAAACUCAGCUGCAACCCAGUGUGAUCAGCAUUGAAGCUAUGGGGAUCUCUAAGAAGUGCUUUCUGGGCCAGCUCCAAUGCUCUGAUUGUUUGAGUGACUUCUCGUCAUAGAACACAUAAUAGUCUCACUUAUGGAAGGGUCUGUAAGACUUGCAGGAAAACAAUGGGGGGAGGUAGUCAUUGCCUGCAGGAGCUGAGAAGCUGUCUCCUCUUUCCUUGGUACAAUCAAGCUGUUCAACACCAUCUACAAGAGUAGCUCACACAGAGGUAAACCUCAGGAGAUUUUCCAGCUUGAAGUCGAAGGGAAGGCAGUAGCUUUAAAUCAAUGCUAACUCCAGUAUAGAGAGAAGAGGAAAAACAGAUAAGAGAUCCAGGCCAACUUUGAGAAACAGAAAGUUUAAAAUAGCUGGGCCGUGUGUGUGUGUGUGUGU
This 2566-nucleotide small RNA is filed under the name Rattus norvegicus (Norway rat). RNAcentral's name for it is "uncharacterized LOC102555540". The record is from RNAcentral. Lineage: Eukaryota; Metazoa; Chordata; Mammalia; Rodentia; Muridae.